RNAcentral lists this ribosomal RNA (460 nucleotides) under uncultured bacterium. RNAcentral's name for it is "partial 16S ribosomal RNA". It matches the Rfam family "Bacterial small subunit ribosomal RNA", at positions 338 to 795 of the family's 1533-position model. The record is from RNAcentral.
CCUACGGGUGGCUGCAGUGAGGAAUAUUGGUCAAUGGGCGCGAGCCUGAACCAGCCACGUAGCGUGAAGGAUGACUGCCCUACGGGUUGUAAACUUCUUUUAUAAAGGAAUAAAGUGCGGCACGUGUGCCUUUUUGUAUGUACUUUAUGAAUAAGGAUCGGCUAACUCCGUGCCAGCAGCCGCGGUAAUACGGAGGAUCCGAGCGUUAUCCGGAUUUAUUGGGUUUAAAGGGAGCGUAGAGGGGUUGUUAAGUCAGUUGGGAAAGUUUGCGGGUCAACCGGAAACUUGCAUUUGAUACUGGCAGUCUUGAGUGCAGGUGAGGAAGGCGGAAUUCGUGGUGUAGCGGUGAAAUGCUUAGAUAUCACGAAGAACUCCGAUUGCGAAGGCAGCUUACUAAACUGCCACUGACAUUGAUGCUCGAAAGUGUGGGUAGCAAACAGGAUUAGAUACCCGGGUAGUC